This is a long non-coding RNA of Oncorhynchus tshawytscha (Chinook salmon), 620 nucleotides long. Lineage: Eukaryota; Metazoa; Chordata; Actinopteri; Salmoniformes; Salmonidae. The record is from Ensembl.
CUUCAGCCUGGUUCCGGUGAGUUCCGUUGGCCCGGAGAGGUAUGGCUGCGUCGUCGCUAUGGAGACAGAGAACAGCAUCAGAGCAGUAGCUCACUGUGUUGUUGAUACUGGGGCGGCGUAGCCUAGUGGUUAGCGCGUUGGACCAGUAACCGCAAAGGUUUCUAGAUCAAAUCCCAGAGCUGACAAGGUAAAAGGUGUCGUUCUGCCCCUGAACAAGGCAGUUAACCCACUGUUCCUAGGCCGUCAUUGAAAAUAAGAAUUUGUUCUAAACUGACUUGCCUAGUUAAAUAAAGGAUAAAUAAAUUAAAAUUGAGCAUCUUGAUCUUAAUGAGGAAGCUAAAUUGAAUGAUUUUACAAGGCUAGAGGAGCCUUCAUACGGUCCAGGAAACAAUGGCGUGAAAAGGGCAUAAAGAACAGCAGAUAACAGUCUUUAGAACUUUGUUUGAGGCUUCUACUGUGAGGUGAAUGAGAGGGGGCUGAAUGAGAGGGGGCUGAAUGAGAGGGGGCUGAAUGAGAGGGGAUUGAGGUGUCUGGCCGAGUGCCACAGGCUGAAUGAGAGGGGGCUGAAUGAGAGGGGAUUGAGGUGUCUGGCCGAGUGCCACAGGCUGAAUGAGAGGGGG